Molecule: ribosomal RNA, 491 nt
Filed under: uncultured bacterium
Lineage: Bacteria
Description: bacterial SSU rRNA
Rfam family: Bacterial small subunit ribosomal RNA
Source: RNAcentral
AUUGAACGCUGGCGGCAUGCCUUACACAUGCAAGUCGAACGGCAGCACGGGAGCAAUCCUGGUGGCGAGUGGCGAACGGGUGAGUAAUAUAUCGGAACGUGCCCAGUAGUGGGGGAUAACUGCUCGAAAGAGCAGCUAAUACCGCAUACGACCUGAGGGUGAAAGGGGGGGAUCGCAAGACCUCUCGCUAUUGGAGCGGCCGAUAUCAGAUUAGCUAGUUGGUGGGGUAAAGGCCUACCAAGGCAACGAUCUGUAGUUGGUCUGAGAGGACGACCAGCCACACUGGGACUGAGACACGGCCCAGACUCCUACGGGAGGCAGCAGUGGGGAAUUUUGGACAAUGGGCGCAAGCCUGAUCCAGCAAUGCCGCGUGCAGGAAGAAGGCCUUCGGGUUGUAAACUGCUUUGUCAGGGAAGAAAUCCUCUAGGUUAAUACCCUUAGGGGGAGUGACGGUACCUGAAGAAUAAGCACCGGCUAACUACGUGCCAGCA